CAGCCUGGCUUUCACAUCUGCUGUGUGCAUCUGGAUCCGUAGUCACAGCUACUGCCUGCAGCACAAAACAAAGCAGGCGUUUAACCAUUGUCCCCAAGGAGGCGCCUCUAUAGAGGCUGAUCGUUCAAGCUAACAACUGCUAACAGAAGAAAAACCCCACAAGCUCCAGGACAAGGCUGGGUCAUUAAGAAUUACUCUAAAAUCUACUUCUCAUCAAAGCAAGAGUGGAAGGCAUGCAAAUGAUGUAUUCCUCAAAGGAGAAACGAAAAAGACAGCUAUGGAUGUACAUCUGACACAACGGAGAAAUCCCGAAACCCCGAGAAGACCCUGGAACGCAAAUGUACAGAUGCCUAUUCUGUGCCACCUGAAUAUCCAAUUACUCGGCUUUUGUCCGCAAGCUGUGACGGCUGUGGGAACAAGGAGUCGUGCAGCUCAAACGCAUGCAAGAUGCAGCACAAAAGCCCUUGACUUAGACCUCCAUUCUCUGGAAUCUAGAGUCUAGAUGCUGCUCCUCCAUCUUGGACUGCCAAGCCUCUGGGACUGAGGCUAUAGAAUCAUCUAUGAAACAAGCCCUGGGGCACACUUGUGAGGGUUAUGUUAAUCAGGUGAGAAGGCGCCCCUCCUGAAGAGGGGUUGCAGCAUUCCCUGGGCUGCUGACCUGGACUGCAUACAAAGGAGAGCGGCUGAGCAUCAGUUCCCAUCAUUUUGUUGGAUUCCUGGCUGCCUGCACUGCGACCAGCUAGCUGCCUCUGCUCCUGCCAUCAGGACGCCCCUGCCACAGCAGACUGUGAGCCAGAACAGCCUUUCUCCAUCAUGGAGUUGCUUUGGUCGGGGUAUUUUAUCAGACCCACAGGGAAGAAACUAAGACACUAAUGGUAACAGGGCUAAUCUACUGCUAACUGCUCAGUAGUAAGAUACCAAAAUAACUGAAUAGUCACGGGUCAGUAAAAAGAGGAACCUGAAGUGACCAGCUUAAAGGAGACAUUUUCAGUUGUUUGAAAAGACAUAAUAAGAGUCCCCCCACCCACCCCACCUCCCGGGCUGGAGUGAUGGCUCAGAGGUUAAAAGCACUGACUGC
Molecule: long non-coding RNA, 1078 nt
Organism: Mus musculus (house mouse)
Lineage: Eukaryota; Metazoa; Chordata; Mammalia; Rodentia; Muridae
Product: predicted gene, 41165
Exons: 4
Source: RefSeq, a predicted model, not a curated record